This is a long non-coding RNA of Gossypium arboreum, 614 nucleotides long. RefSeq lists it as uncharacterized. NCBI's taxonomy places the organism in Eukaryota, Viridiplantae, Streptophyta, Magnoliopsida, Malvales, Malvaceae. The transcript has 3 exons. The record is from RefSeq and is a predicted model, not a curated record.
UCACCUCUUAUUGUCGUCUCUUGAUUUUCCAAACUUCAAUCCUUAUAAUUUCUAUCAUGUUCCAAGCAUUAAACCUCCCUAGAAUUUUAAGAAAAACAUCAAAAGCACCAUUGAUUUUACUAUUGUUUAUCUUGUGGGUUUUCUCGGAUUUACUGUCAAACAUUCAUUCUUUCCUCAACAAAGUGAAGAUUCGGAACAGUUGGAACCUUCGAUGAGCCAAGAAAAAAGGAAAGGAAAAGCUAGUUUAGGCUUUCGGCGACUAGGCGAGAGCACGAAUGUUAGCAAUGCAGUAUGAGCGAUGCAGAAAUUCCAAGGAAGUGAUCCAAGUUAGGCUCAGUAAUUUGAGUAAGUGAUGUUAUUAUUCUUUUAUACUGCAGAAAUAAAGGCAAUGUGGCUAGAAUGUUGCUGAAUAUGCAUAUUAUGUCUUGAUAUUUUGAUGUGUUUAUAGACUUUUAGGAUUUGAUGAAUGUUUAUCAUUAUUUUGUUGUAUUGCUUUAGCUAGAAUAUUUGAGAUUGAAAAGCUGAUUUGGGACUAAAAUUAUGGUCAUUUUGAUGCUAGAGGAUGUGUUAGUUGAUGCAUGAUGAAGAGGUAAAUGUUUGAGUGUGUAUUAUGC